Ictalurus punctatus (channel catfish) is the source of this 12936-nucleotide long non-coding RNA. The record is from Ensembl. Lineage: Eukaryota; Metazoa; Chordata; Actinopteri; Siluriformes; Ictaluridae.
CACGACCAUUAAACUUCACACAGAACACAGAAAUAACAGACUUAAACUCAGAGGGAUUUCUCAGAGGAUAAAUAGCUAAGUUAGUUAUCCAUGUUAUUAGCUAGGUAUGUUAGCUUAUCAGAUUAUUCAUUCUACAGCAUUUAGCUUCCUACAAUUAAGGCAAAUUCAUGGGGAAAAAACAGCAAUAACAACAACAACAGCAAAAAAAAAACCCAGACAAAUUCUGGCAUGUUUCCUAGUUUUCUCUACUUUUCUAUAUAUUACUAAAAAGACUAGCUUGCUAAGUUAUCUGUGCAAACUAUCUGUUAGGUUGCCCAAUGGUUCAUUUGACAAAUAAAAAGGUAAACGGUUAGGGCAGGUGAUAACAUUGCAAUGGAAAAAACACCAACAAAAAUCAAGGACUUGGCAAAAUAGUUCAGCUAAUAGUACAGCUACUUAAUUUACACAGUUUUCCUAGUUUUCUUUUCUAUAUUCUUUAUUAUAAAACAACUUUGUGGAGAAAAAAAAAAGUUUUACAGAAUUUCUCUCAAGUGCUUAGCCUUUCCUUCAUUUCAGGAUAAAUAGCUAAAGUAGCUAGCCAAUUUCCUCAGCAAACAUUAGCUAGCUAUGUUAGCUUUACCAGACGGUUCAUCUGAUAAUGUUUCAUUCCUGUGCACUGAAGCAUGUCAGCUAUAAAAUGUUAUGCAAAUAAAAAUAGAACACUCUCAGGUGGAAAGUUUAGACAAGUAGCUGACCAAAUGGUUCAUCUUGUAGAUUAUUAUCUUAUAGAUCACUAGCUAGCUAGCUAGAUAAACUAGCCAAUUUUCUCAGCAAAUAUUAGCUAGCUACUUUACAGCAGCUUUCUAGAUUAGAUGAUUCAUUUAACAAUUAAAGAUAUAGUUAUACUGGUGGGGGAAAAAGUAUACAAGAAACUAUAGGUUAUAGUAUGAACUCAGAUGGUACUGUUUUCUAUAGGAAACAUUUCAUCAGAAAAAAAUGUCUUUGAUUCUGCCAUGUGUCUUAAAGAAUAAGACUGAAAAUGAAUGUGAUUCUAUGGGGAAAUCGCACGUCUAGGGAACAUGUGCUGCUGUCUCUGUGUAGAUCCAUGGGGGAAACCCAGCACAUACAACACAAAAUGGAAAAAGAAUUUUGAUAGUCUGACAUCUCACUCAGAGCCAGACACUAAGAAAUGACAUUUGUUACAAAUUGUAUUGGGGAUGUCCCGUGGCCCAGCGCUGUUAACAGAACAGACGCUGAGGCAUAAAACACAGCUUUCAUUACAGUGCAUGGAUGCUUGAAAAAGUCACACUCAUUAUUUGAGACAUUUCCGUGGUAAUGAUAUAAUCUCAUGCUUUAUUACCUCUGUCUGCAAAACUUUCUUGCUGUCGUUAACCAACACAGAGAGUGCGUGAGUGUGAACAAACUACAUAUAUGUGACUUAUCAGAGACCAGACAUCAGUGCACAAGACCUGACAUUUUUAAACAGAACCCUGAAUCCACCCUGAACGAUCAAAAUCUGUAAUCAAUGUGAUCUAUAGAAUUACUUUAUAAUACAAUUGAUCCGAGUUGGUUUAAAUCUCAGCACGUCUGCCUCGCACCUCCAGGGUUGGGGGUUCGAUUCCCACCUCCGCCCUGUGUGCGUGGAUUUUGCAUGCUCUCCCUAUGCUUCAGGGUUUCCUCCGGGUACUCCGGUUUCCUAUCACAGUCCAAAGACAUGCUUCGUAGGCUGAUUGGCUUUUCUAAAUUGUCCGUAGUGUGAAUGGGUGUAUGAGUGUGUGUGUGAUUCUGCCCUGUGAUAGGUUGGCACCUCGUCCAGGGUGUCCCCUGCCUCGUGCCCCGAGUCCCCUGAGAUAGGCUCCGGGUUCCCCCGGACCCUGUGUAAGAUAAGCGGUACAGAUGGAUGGAUGGAUGGUUUAAACUACAUUCUACAAGUUAACUACAAGUUAUUCUAUGGAAUUUAUCCCUCGUUCAUCUCUAACUAUAGAGAGUGAUGUAGCAGCGCUUUAACCUUUUAUUCUCUCCAACUCCCUCUCAGCUCCUCAUCUGUCCACUCUGCUCAAACUGAUCAGCUUCCAAUGCUUCAACUUUCACACUCACACUGCUGUAAUACUCGUCAUCUCAUAGAUGGAGUUAUUGCUGUAACUCAAGAGCAACUGCACCGUAUAGCCAUGAUGCAUUCUGGGCUAACAGUGAAGCGUGAGAGGUGAUUGUAACUAUGUACAGGUGGUGAAUAUUUGAAAAAGAGCUUUUCUUUAGAGAAAGCCAAACAGUUGUGAGAUGUUCAUGUAUUUAUGGCUGUUUCCGGGUUUGGGAGAGUCGACAGUUAAAAAGUCGCCACGCACGGUUCUAGAUUCAGCCUGUAGAGGGAGUAGGAGUUAUGAUUUGACUGUUAAAAAGGUUUAUUAACAUUAUGCUUUUUUUUUCUCACUAAACUAAUGACUUGUAUUAACGUAAUACAGGAAUAAUCUUUUAUAUGAAUGUCUUUGCAGUUCAAAAAAAUGACAUUUUGGGUUUACAGAGUUAGUUACACAUUGUGCGACUAUUUAUAACCUCAAUGGCUGAGGUCUCCAUAAUAUUUGCAUGAGAGCCGUGCGCUCACACCUAACUAAUUUACAUACACAGGACAAUUCACACAAAGCCUAUCUGUGUGUGUGUGUGUGUGUGUGUGUGUGUGUGGGAGGGGCAAACAUUAACAGUGUACAUGCGUGAAUGUGUGGUGAGUGUUUCACUAAGCUCCCUCCCUUGUUAUCAAAGCAGCAAAGCAGUAUGUGUGUCUGUGUGUGUGUAGAAGCUGUUAAGCAGGAUUGUGUGUACUCUAGCAAAGCGAGGCUUGCCGUAUGUGUGUGUGAUGAGUCACAGCCUGACACAGCAGGAGGAUUAAUUACACUCCCUGAGUCUGUGUGUGUCUGUGUGCGCGUUUGUGUGCAUGGGUGUGUGUGUGUGUAUGUGUGGGUGUGUGUGUGCGUAGCAUGCAAGCCUGAGAUAUGCACGCAUAUAUUAGUGUUAUCCUGAGUAUCGAUGGCCAUGUUUAAGUAACAGAGUUCAGUUCUGCAGAAUUACAGUGUAUCGGAUACAGCUCACUGCUCUUUCCCCAGGACACUCACAUCAUCAAAUAAAACUCGACACUGCUCACACAGACUGGCCACACAGGGGAAUGUAGCUAAUGUACGCUAAAAAAGUCACUAGAAUGCCGCCGGAAGGAAGGAUUUUCUGAAGACACUGAGAAUAUGACAUAAUAGAUUAUGAUAGAUAAUAAUGUAUGUGUUUCUUACAGAAAAAAAGAACUGUUAUGUUUUUACAAUAAUAUAAAAAAAAACUACAAAGAUUUCUAUCAAGUAAUGACAAUACAGCCAAGUAAAGAAAUUAAACAACAGAGUAAGAGAAUAAAGAAGAGAGCAUUGGAGACAAACUAUGGUGAUUAGCGUUUGUUUGUUGGGAACAAUGGUAAUCAGUGAUUGGUCUCCCAGAACAGUGGUGAUCAGUGAUUUGUCACUGGGAACAAUGGUGAUCAGUAAUUGGUUGUUGGGAACAAUGUUGAUCAGUGAUUAGUUAUUGUGAACAAUGGUGGUCAGUGAUUCGUCAUUGGAAACAAUGGUGGUCAGUGAUUGGAUAUUGUGAUCUAUGGUGAUCAGUGAUUGAAUGUUGGGAACAAUGGUGAUCAGUGAUUGGAUGUUGGUAUCUAUGGUGAUCAGUGAUUGGAUGUUGGGAACAGUGGUGAUCUGUAACUAGUUGUUUUGGAACAAUGGUGAUCAGUGACUGGAUGUCGGGAACACAGGCUUGUGCAAGAGUAACUGAGACUUUGCACACAGACUUAACUCAAGCCAGACUUUACACACAGGUCGUGCGUCAACUAAACCUGCUUUCUCAACUCGUGAUGUGAGCUUAACAGUCAUAUUGAAUGCAGGAAAUUUCUAGAUGCUUUUUUUUUCUUCUUUUAAAAAAAAAAUAAUAAUAAAGCUAACAGAUCUAGCGAAAAAGUUUAGCAACACUGAGCAGGGCUGCACUCAAUUUUCCCCGGGCUCUCUCACUGUGCAAUCUCCAAACCUCAGAUGACCAUUAUCAUGACUCAGGCUAAAACAUGGUGUCUCAGCAGCUUAUUUGUAUAACACUCAAGUCAUAAUUUCUACUCACCUUUUAAUUUGGGCUGUGUAUGAUAAUGCCUGACUCCAGCAUGGCCAGAAAUAGCAACACUAUAAACAGAACUCUUUAUCAAAGUCAUAUCCUCUUGCAUCCUAUCAAAUUCUACAGAUCUCAUGACAGUUCAGGAAAUAUUCAUUUGUAAUGGCUAGCAGCUUUUCUCCCUCAUAAUUUGCUGUAGUUAUUAUUAAUAACAACUCUUAAUCUAACGCGAUUUCGAAUUUAAAUAAAGUAAAAUAGUACACACAGUCUUUACGAAUUUGAAUGAUUCUAGUUUUACAAGAUGGUGAGACAGCCAUGUGAUUUAUUUAUUUUUGUUCUUUGUAUCAGGCCUAUUUUUCCCUGAGUGACCCAACAGAACAGCGUUCAACCUGACAUCUAGAGAUCAUGAGUUCCAAUCCCAACGAUGCCACAGCCAGCCCUGGCCGGGUGUCCAAGACAGCAAAAUUGUCUGAGCUCUCUGAGUGGGAAGGAUGGAAUUAUGGCCUCCCGUGUCAAUCAGAGCGGCUCAGGCAUGUGGAGGAGGGUAGAUGAGUGUAUUCCUCUGAGGGUAUUCAGUUGUGCUGUGAUGUAGUAUGAGGAGCAGUUCAACACGAUGUGGUGGCUUCACUUGUCUUGUAGGAAGCAUGUGGUAGCAUUCACCACUGGUAACUGUUGUGUGACAGAUGAGAACUAGAUUGUGGGUGGGAAUUGUCAAAGGACCAGAUUGGGGGCAAAUAAAUCAAUAAACACACAAAACAUAAAUCUGGACUGGAAAUUAGGUCCAAAAGCAAAGCUAUUCAGCUCUGUCCCUUUUUCUAAAAAAAAAAAAAAAAACCUCGGUAUUAAGUACACACAAUGCACUGGAGAAAUGGAAGCUUUUUAAUGUUUUAAUUGCUGCUGCAAUUUCCCAAAAUUUUAGCAGCAGAGGGCGCUAAAAAUGACUCCAAUUUUGCAUGUUAUUUCUCAGACACACUGUAUAAUACCUAAAACGUACCAAAAUGAGAUUUUAGCAUGUUCUUUACUUCACUAAACCGAGUGUCAGAAGCCGGUUUAACUGACAAGGUCACGAGAAUCAGCAGACAUUUAUCUGGCCCAUUGCUUCUGCUCGAAACUAUCUGCAAUCUAAUCAAUCGUGACUGGCUUUCCAAACCUUGAGCCGGUCCUUACAACAGCCUGUCUACACUAAAAUCAUCUGAUUUAUAGCCGUCAGUGGGCCUUUUCAUAUAUAUCCUCUGUAGCAGUUUGACAGGAUCUGUGCGAGGCUUGAGAGGAAAAACUUUUUUACAAGAGGGAUCAAAUGAUCCAGUCCAGAGGCCUGAGUCAUACACACCUGUGCCUCAUCCACAUUUUCCCCUACAUUCUUCUCUCUCUCUCUCUCUCUCUCUCUGUCUCUCUCUCUCUCUCUCACACACACACACACACACACACACACACACACACACACACACGCACACCCUUUACAUACACUCCUAUUCUGUAAUCUCAAACUCCACAGUCGUCAUUUGGCUAUGUUAAGAUCUGGGCUGUGUCUACGUGCCUGGGUCGACUCUCAUCUGCAAACAAUUUGGAGGCGGUCAGUGGUUUUCCCAAAGCAAUGCAGGAAAUGUUCGCGCGUCUCCAUGCAAUUUUGGUUAACAGUCAUCCGAUACGUCUCUGUUGCAGCACUAAAGCCUCAGAGAGAGUUUGAGUCAAUGACUAGAGCUGAAACACGGCUUUGUAGCACGCUUGAGAUUAUGGAGAGGGAUAAUCAGUUGGUUCUGUGUGUAUUUCUGAUAGAUUAGGCCUGUCCUGAGUUUGACUAAUAGCCCAGCACACAAUGCACCAACCGGAGCACUUAAUCCACUUUGGGCAGGAGCGGGAUGGGCUCGGGGGCUGGAGGAAAUGACACGCGUCACUGUUAAUGGGCCAGAGCCUGGGAUGAUACAUCAGCAUUAAGACAUUUCACAUUCACACAGCUGAAACUGGGAACUAUUCACUCUCAGUCCGUGUGAGCGGCUCCACCUCCUCUCUCUCUCUCACACACACUCACACAGAGAAUCGGGAGAACACGAAUCACAAAUCCAGCAGUCUUAUGCAAAUCAAAUACACGCACACAAAACAGGCGCUCAUGCACAGGCACGCUCUCACACACCCCCUGUGUUCAGCUUGACACGGUGCUGGAUGCUCAGCGUUGCAGAAAGUCCAAGGCAGCAAUAAAACUGCCAGACUCCCACGCUCUCUACUCCCAACCUCCCCACUACAGCGGGACGUGCAGCAUAGACAUGGGGAGUCAGCUGUGUGUGUGUGUUUGAGUGUAUAUAUGUGUGUGAGAGAAAAAGAUUUAUUACAGUGUGUGUAAAUCUGAGCCUCAAUGUUUAUUUAUGUGUUUGUGUAAGUGUGUAAUUGUGUGAGAAAGUCUCAGUGCUUGUUAGUUUAUGUAGGACUUUCAGUGCUUGUCUAUGCAUGAGACAGUCUGUGUUGGAACCAAAUGUCCCCAUAAGGAUACCUGACGCUUUUGACCUUGUGGGAACAUUUGUCUCGUCCCCACAAGGAAAACUUGUGAGAGGUCCUUACAAGGAUAGCAAUACAUGUGUGUGUGUGUGUGUGUGUGUGUGUGUGUGUGUGUGUGUGUGUGUGUGUGUGUGUGUGUGUGUGAAACCUAUGGCACAGCCAGGCCUUAAUCAGCGCUCCAGUGAGACCAAAAAAGUUUUAGUACUCAAAUUCAUUUGCAGUAGUGGGAUGCUGUCCAUACUGCAUACCACAUACUAUGAGGUAAAAUCAUAGUAUUAUAAAUAUUUAUCUACAUUUCUCACAUAACCUUGCAACCCAUUUUAAACUCAUCUUCAUGCAGGAAGCUUGUCUCUUAUCCAAGUCCCUCCAUGUCAGAGCUCGACUGAACCUCUCAGUUCCACCAGGACUUCAUCAUUUUGCGAUCACAGAAAUGAACACAAAAUCAAGCAAACUCUGAAACAUUCAGAGGCACUUGCAAUGUUUCGAAAUGACUGCAGAUUUUCACCAGGGCCAUUCGGGCCAAGACGCAUUGUGUGACAUCAUCGCAACACACAUUCAGCCAAAACCCACUUCGAUUCACGUGCGUUGAACAUGAAUACAAAUAAAAGGUCUCAUUUAGCAACAAACACCACGUUAUAAGACAAUUGCAAUUUCGCCAAUUCAAGGAGUUUUCCGCAAAAACAGCACAAAAUACUCUGCAAACUGCAUCGCAAAAUUUGAACAAAAGCCAUAGCAAAAUCAAGCAUUGACUGACCUCCAGGUGGCUUUCUUUUCACUACAUAUUCUCAUUACAUAGGGUAUAACAUAAAACAGUCAACAAACCUACACGGUGCACUAUAUAGCCAGCGGGAUCGCAGCUGGAAAUGAACUACUUUACAUGUAAUAUCACUUUAACAUGGAUAAUUAACAAAAUGUAAAAGUGAAGUAAGCUAUAAAUGAUAUAUACCCCUUUUCCUACAUAAAGUAACAAUAGUCAUUUUUCCACAAGAGAAAAAGUUGAAGAAAUGUGUGUUUUUUUUUUUAACAGAUUUACAAUCGGUGACUAAAGGUUGACUAUUUCUAUCUAAAGCUAGAACAUUAGAUGUUGAUUUCUGCCUUUGAAUGUAUGUAAAUACUACGAAACUUUGUAUAGUGUUUGAAUUCAGCCAGCUCCUUGACACCCAAGUGCCCUCUCUGUCUCAAUACACUCCACACACACACACACACACGCACACACACACACGCACACACACACACGCACACACACGUCUAUAAACACAGCAGAGAAACAGUGAAGGAGACAUGUUAGCUGCAUGCAGGAAGGAGUUACACAACUUUCUGCAGUGUGUUCCUGUUCGUGCAGUCAUAUGAUACCAAAUUACUGAAUAGAGUCUCACCAGACAUAUAGACAGACAGACAGACAGACGGACAGACAGAACAGUGUGUUCUGAGUCCAGGACCUGUGGUGGAUUGUACACACACACACUUGUCGCUCCAGUUGUGGCUUUGGCAGCCUCUUUGCUUCCUCUCUACCUUUGGCUAAUGCUGCUGCCAGUCACACCAUCUGGAAACUUCCGUGCCAGCUGCUAUCCAAACCCCCAUCCUUAUUCAUUAAACUCCACACGUCUCCAGUUUUAUUUAUUUAUUUAUUCAUUUAUUUUUAAACAUAAAUUUUUGUUUGCUUUUUAAUCAUAAUUGUUGAUUAUUGAUUAUACAAAGGGUUCCAGUAGUAAUAUUUCACUUUCAGAUUUUAAAGAAGCAGUUUGGAUUUUUUAGAGCCUUAAAGUCUCCGCUUUACUUCCACCAACCACACCUCAUCAAAACUGUCCAAACUGCAUGCCUAAUGUGUUGGCUUUUUUUAAGAGAGGGAAAAAAAGGUCAGAUCUGUACAGUUCUAUUCACCUGUGAGGUGGAGCUUUUUUUCUGGGCCAGAAAAAUUACAGAAACAGAAGCCUGUAAACAAUCAGAUCCAUUGUAUGUAAUAUUGUAAAUCACGUAUUUCCCCCCUAAGGAAACCAUAUGAUUUUUACAGGUCUAAAAAAAAAUCUUUUAAAAAUCUUUCUAAAAACCUUUUGAUUUCUAUUCAUGUCAUACUUGCGAUUUUAUCCUUUUUCGAGUUUUUUUUCCAUAAAAAUUUUUCCAUAUUGUCAUGCUUUGUUUUAUGGUUUCACAUACACUGUCGAAAAUCUGGCAGCAUACUGAGAAACUCACACUCUACUAUGGCAUCACUGUACAGUACCAAGUCUGGAGUCAGAGUUAUAAAAGCAGCUAUGAUGUGUCAAUAUCUGAAUGUACUAAGGUUGAGACAGAAGGAAAGGUCUGCUCAUGCUGGAGGUGUUCAUAUCAAUAAUCAAAUCCUUUAAAGGGAGAAAUGUGUGUGCCGGCCAGAAACCAUAAACCUGUCGAGCACAAAAGGUCAGAGGAGCUUCAACUCCUUUUUUUUAUUUAAAAGUUAAAACACAUAUACAAAAAACACACACAGCCUAACAUUGUAUCUCAUCACUGCCCUGGCAAGAAAAUCAUCGAUCUCUCUAAACCAGGAGCAUUCAACUAAAAUACUUGAAUCGUUUACAGAUCAUUUGAAAAAGGUUACGAUUUGUUUCACAUUGAGCUUCACAAUAUAACUUUUGACUAGUGCCACAGACUACGAACAAAUGAGAUGUCUGCUCUGAAUUUCAUGCACAAAGUAAAGGUCGACCGAUUGAUUGGUUUUGCAGAUUAAUCGACACCGAUAACCGAUUGCUGGAACUAUCGAUUAUCUGCAAAAAUCCACACAGAUAGUUUUUUCCCAGUUGUGUCCGUAGCGGGAGCGACUGAGACGAGUCCGCUGUUAUUAUACAAUACGACAGCGGCCUCUAGAGGCAAAAUAAAAACUGACCACUUUUGUUGUGUUAUUUGAAGUGUGUUUUUUUAUUUAAUUAUUAUUCAUUUUGGAUGUCUCUAUUUUUAUUUGUUAUUUGCAGUGAUACUUUUUGGUUCAUUUUUGAUGUUUAUCUUUUAUUUACUUUAAUAUUUAUUAAUAGUUAAUAUAUAUUAAGAUGUAUAAAUUUAUUUCAUUAAAAAAAGGACCGUGCAUUUUCAUGCGACAGUCAGUAUUGUUUAUUUUUGUAAUACAGUUCAGCAAUAUUUUACUUUGAGUUAAGUUUUCAUUCAGUUUCAAUCAGUUUUAAAAACUAUCGGUUGAUGAAUUAGUUUUCGGCAGGUGCUGCCCAACUUGGUUAUCAGUACUGGUAAAAUCCAUUAUCGGUCAGCCUCUAGCAAGACAAAUAAACACACACUUCUCUGUCUACCUUUUAUUUAUUUAUUUUAUUUUAUUUUUUUUAAACAUUCUGUUUGUGUCGUCAAACAAUCCAUGUCGUAAGGUGGCUAUUCAGACCAGAGAAGGAAAAUAUAAUGAAAAAUCUAUGAAAGUCUGUCUGUCUGUGUUAUAUUUCUGAGCAUAUGUCUCUAGCCCUAUACAUGGUUUCUAGUCCAAUGGGCUGCCUUGAGCUAAAUAAUAAAUACAUAAAGUAUGUGAUUGGUUAAAUAUCAAGCUGUGCUGCUUCUUAUUUAUAAAAAAUAUAUAUAGUUGCUGAACUGUGGACAUUUUUAAAAAUACAUUUAUCAGGUUUUUGUUACAGUAUAUUUUUCAUGUACCUUUCUGCAUGUAUUCAGUUUGUUCUGCUGAAAUACUUUUCCACAUAUGGACUGCUGUCCAUCACUUCACAACCUAUUCAAGCUUUCAAAGUCAAAAUGAAGGUCAGACAUCUUGCAGUUGUGACAUUAUGUAACCCUGCAUAUACCCAUUGACUGUGCAUGGAAUCAUAACGCAAAAUGCCUAAAGCUGUUGGCCAUGUACAUCUCAGCUCUCGCCUCAGCUUGAAGUGCAAUGCAAAUGCUACAGAUUUGGUUUGGCUGAUAUAAUCAAACCAGUUUUGGUGAUCACGCCACAUGUCACACUACUUAUGUCAUUAGAAAUUCCAAAGCAACAGUACAUACACGGAGGAAAGAAUGAAUGAAAAGUAGAUGCAGAUGAGCUCAUGAUCCCGCCGCUGUUCCAGAGUCUCCCAUCCAUAACUGAUUUGAAAUCCUUCCUCACAUGGAUAUGUCUCAUUGAAACAGAGAAAGAAAUAAAAAGAGAAAAUGACAUACGCCCAUCACAGACAAUGACAGCCAGGAUGAAACACAACACAUUUUACAGGAGGAAGAGAAAACCAAGAAUGUCAGAAACAGUGAAAAAUAAGAAAAACGGGGAGACACUAGUAGGCGAUUUCUCACAAUUACGUAACUCCCAUUGUAUAACAGUGUGGGCGUCACCCACCUUCUGCACAACAGCAAUCCAUACAGUCACUCUGAUGUAUAUUUAGCGCGGCGCACCGACCUCACACACAUAGACAGACACAUCUCUUUCUGCUGCUGGUGAUUUAGUGCCACACGGAGCCUCCCUGCUCGAUGUAGUAACCUCUGAGUCAAGUCACUUACAAGUCAAAUCCAAAGUCUUUAAGCUGCUAGUCAAUCCAAAUCCUGAUGGGAUCCAGAGGGAAGAGGAAGGACAUUCUAGACACCUUCAGGAAUUGCACCCUGGGCUGUGCUUGUGCUGUCUGAAUACCAUCAUUUAAUAGUAAAGAAACAAUUCUUCACGUAACCUAUUUCCUCAAGCCAAAUCAUGCUAAACUUUGGUAUGAGGAAACAAGGAAAGAUUAGUCCCAGCUAAUUAUUCAGUUACUAAAUUUAGCGCAUAUUAUUUAGUAACUCCAGUUAAACUAAAAGGAAAGGUAUGUAGAUACAUUAGCAAGCAAUGUGAAAGUCUGAACCCGAUAAUGGACGAAUGAAUUUAAAGGGAUUUUUAACUACCUCAUCAGCAGCGUAGAUGUGAUUACCGCAAACCUGCAGUUCAACACAUUUUCCUGUUCGGAUACACGCACAUAAAACCUGUUUACUUGAAGCUCAUUUACAAAGGAAGUCUAUGGGGAGUUGCUGAAUUACAUCAGUAGAGGUGCGAAUGUCUUCACAAAGAAAACUUCAACACACAUCAGUAAUUACUGUGUAUGAUCUUAGUACAGAAACGAUAACAUAUCAGAUUGAGUGUAUUAAUAUAAACCUGUGAUCUGAAUUGCAGAGCUGCUGUAGAAAAUAGGAAAUGAACCUUCUGGCCAAUCCGAAUCAAGAAUUUAACAGCAAUGUGAUAUAAUUAGUUUUAUUUAACUUCUAAUCGCUACAUUGAUUUAGUCAACUGAUAAAUCACAAUGUUUUUUCCUCUAAUACUCCCAUAUUAGAACAGAUGGAAGAAAUUGGAAACAAUUUCAUAUAAGUAUUCAGCAUCAACGUUUAUUGAUGGAAUUUGAGGCUGUUCUGUGUUUUCAGCACUUUUGUGGAUGAAUAUUAGUGAACUGAAUCUCAGAUUUCUUCUCCUGUGUUUGCUUUUAUAAUAUUAUAAUGAAGUAGUAUAACAGUGUGACCCAACAUGCAAACAUGCCACAUUUCCCAUCUUGCCACUCAGAAGGUACACAGGUCACACACACACAGCACCAUCUCAUCCAGUAUACUGUGUGUGUGUGUGUGUGUGUGUGUUUUUUCCUGUAACCCUGCAGGCUGGUGAGGAACUUCUCCCACAUGAUCAUCAGCAUCUAAGCUGUGAUCUCGCCUCAUAUUUUUAGCAACAAAGUAGCACCUCUCGAAGAGCUCACAGCUCUCACACUCGCCAUGGAGGAGAGAUUCCCGUUGCACACGCAGUGGAAACACUACACAGCGAAUGUGUGCUGCAAGAGGAAGUGAAGAGUAUUUACUGAUUACUCUGUACUCAGCACCUGCUGUGCUCCACACUUUUUUUUUUACCAUGAGUGCAGGUGUUUUGAUUUAGUGAUUAAUUACAUCAGCAAUGGGGAGCAUCAAAAAGGUCGCAGUACACCAAGGGACUAGCAUGUCUAUUUGCUGAUCCAAAGGUAUUGCACAAUACAAAGUCAGGAUAUUGAAGUGUGCUCAUUUUCAAGACAAAGAAUUACACAACAGCAUAGUCCGAGACUCAGUGGUUAUCCAGCUCUGCUUGCUAAACCCUGUGCUUUUAAGUGACGUCUUGAUAGCGUUUAGCAGCCAGAGUCCAGAACAAAGCUAAGCCUACAAUUUUCCCUCGUCCCUGCAGAUCUGUGUGUGUGUAUGUGUGUGUGUUUGUGUGUGCGCUCUCAAUCUCUGGCCAUUGCAGCUCAGUCUCACGUCUAUGAAUCUAAUUUCCCACUUACACCUUAUAAAAAAAAACCUUCACCCUGAAAUACGUUAGAUCUAUCCAUCCAUUUUACAUACUGCUUAUCCUACACAGGGCCGUGGGGAGCCUGGAGCCUAUCCCAGGAAACUUGGGGCACAAGGCAAGGGACACCCUGGAAGGGGCAACAAUCA